This 397-nucleotide ribosomal RNA is filed under the name uncultured bacterium. RNAcentral's name for it is "partial 16S ribosomal RNA". It matches the Rfam family "Bacterial small subunit ribosomal RNA", at positions 523 to 918 of the family's 1533-position model. The record is from RNAcentral.
AUACGUAGGGAGCGAGCGUUGUCCGGAAUUACUGGGUGUAAAGGGAGCGUAGGCGGGACUGCAAGUCAGAUGUGAAAUACCGGGGCUUAACCCCGGAGCUGCAUUUGAAACUGUGGUUCUUGAGUGAAGUAGAGGCAAGCGGAAUUCCUGGUGUAGCGGGGCAAUGCGUAGAUAUCAGGAGGAACACCGGUGGCGAAGGCGGCUUGCUGGGCUUUUACUGACGCUGAGGCUCGAAAGCGUGGGGAGCAAACAGGAUUAGAUUCCCUGGUAGUCCACGCCGUAAACGAUGAAUACUAGGUGUAGGGGGUAUCGACUCCCUCUGUGCCGCAGUUAACACAAUAAGUAUUCCGCCUGGGGAGUACGGCCGCAAGGUUGAAACUCAAAUGAAUUGGCGGGG